Molecule: unclassified non-coding RNA, 25 nt
Filed under: Mus musculus (house mouse)
Lineage: Eukaryota; Metazoa; Chordata; Mammalia; Rodentia; Muridae
Description: oocyte_clustered_small_RNA719
Source: RNAcentral
UUCUUUAAGGGCUUCUAUCUAUGUG